AAGUCGUAACAAGGUUUCCGUAGGUGAACCUGCGGAAGGAUCAUCAUUGAUGUCCGGCCUUAAAUACCCCUGUGCACCAUUUUUGGUGGUUGCUGUGUGUGGGGCGGACCGGUCUCCGGCCUGUCUGUUCCACGCCCGCGCCGCCACCAUCGUUCAUAAACACCGCUUUGAGCAAACCUCUGAAAAACAUACACACAAAUAAUACACAACUUUUAACAACGGAUCUCUUGGUUCUC
This 236-nucleotide unclassified non-coding RNA is filed under the name fungal sp. Its description in RNAcentral is "partial internal transcribed spacer region". The stretch from base 1 to 46 matches the Rfam family "Eukaryotic small subunit ribosomal RNA", at positions 1786 to 1831 of the family's 1831-position model. The record is from RNAcentral. Lineage: Eukaryota; Fungi.